This 478-nucleotide ribosomal RNA is filed under the name uncultured bacterium. Its description in RNAcentral is "partial 16S ribosomal RNA". It matches the Rfam family "Bacterial small subunit ribosomal RNA", at positions 28 to 506 of the family's 1533-position model. The record is from RNAcentral.
GAUGAACGCUAGCGGGAGGCCUAACACAUGCAAGCCGAGCGGUAUUUGUUCUUCGGAACAGAGAGAGCGGCGCACGGGUGCGGAACACGUGUGCAACCUGCCUUUAUCUGGGGGAUAGCCUUUCGAAAGGAAGAUUAAUACCCCAUAAUAUAUUGAGUGGCAUCAUUUGAUAUUGAAAACUCCGGUGGAUAGAGAUGGGCACGCGCAAGAUUAGAUAGUUGGUGAGGUAACGGCUCACCAAGUCAAUGAUCUUUAGGGGGCCUGAGAGGGUGAUCCCCCACACUGGUACUGAGACACGGACCAGACUCCUACGGGAGGCAGCAGUGAGGAAUAUUGGACAAUGGGUUAGCGCCUGAUCCAGCCAUCCCGCGUGAAGGACGACGGCCCUAUGGGUUGUAAACUUCUUUUGUAUAGGGAUAAACCUACUCUCGUGAGAGUAGCGGAAGGUACUAUACGAAUAAGCACCGGCUAACUCCGU